GGAGGGGACCGGGCAGCCGCCGCGCGUGCGGAGGAAAGUCCGGACUCCACAGGGCAGCGAGCCUGCUAACGGCAGGGCGGGGUGACCCGACGGAAAGUGCCACAGAAAACAAACCGCCAGCGGCCGCCCACGGGCGGUGCGGGCAAGGGUGAAACGGCGGGGUAAGAGCCCACCGCGGACCUGGUAACAGGGACGGCACGGUAAACCCCUCGCGGAGCAAGGCCAAAUAGGGAGGCGUCCGAGGCUGGCCCGGCCGAGGCCUCCGGGUAGGCCGCUCGAGGCCGUCGGCGACGGCGGUCCUAGAGGAAUGGCUGCCCCCUCCGGGAAACCGGAGGGACAGGAUCCGGCUUACAGGUCCCCUCCAUGA
This 367-nucleotide RNase P RNA is filed under the name Acidobacteriota bacterium. RNAcentral's name for it is "Acidobacteria bacterium (sediment metagenome) RNase P RNA component class A". It matches the Rfam family "Bacterial RNase P class A". From Rfam's summary of the family: Ribonuclease P (RNase P) is a ubiquitous endoribonuclease, found in archaea, bacteria and eukarya as well as chloroplasts and mitochondria. Its best characterised activity is the generation of mature 5'-ends of tRNAs by cleaving the 5'-leader elements of precursor-tRNAs. The record is from RNAcentral. Lineage: Bacteria; Pseudomonadati; Acidobacteriota.